AUGGUCGGCGGCGACCGCAUCUCUGACCUCCCUGACGACCUGCUGCGGCGCAUCCUCUACUUCGCGCCUGUCAAGGAGGCCGCGUCCACUAGCGCGCUCGCGCGCCGGUGGCGCUCACUGUGGCUCUCGUCGGGCGCCGUCAACCUCGACACGCGCUCCUACCACACGUCCCCGACGAUAAUUUGUACGGCAAGCGAGCCGCCUUCGUGCGCGAUGCCCACGCGGCUCUCGCUGCCCGCGGCCGCCAUUACCCCCUCAGGAAGCUCACCUUCCACGUGGAAGGCCACCAUUGCAACAUCAUCCAGUUGUUCCUGUGCAUCAGCGAUGACGGCUUGA
RNAcentral lists this ribosomal RNA (336 nucleotides) under Triticum aestivum (bread wheat). RNAcentral's name for it is "partial small subunit ribosomal RNA". Lineage: Eukaryota; Viridiplantae; Streptophyta; Magnoliopsida; Poales; Poaceae. The record is from RNAcentral.